Vicia villosa (hairy vetch) is the source of this 1041-nucleotide long non-coding RNA. RefSeq lists it as uncharacterized. NCBI's taxonomy places the organism in Eukaryota, Viridiplantae, Streptophyta, Magnoliopsida, Fabales, Fabaceae. The record is from RefSeq and is a predicted model, not a curated record. The transcript is spliced from 3 exons.
AACACACAACCCACGGAUAGAUUCUGAACCGUGGAAACUUUGAAGAACAAUUGAAAAAUGACGAAGAACCCUAAUUCUCCAAAUUAGUGAAGAUUUCAAAUCAUCAAACCUAGAAUUGGUGAAUAAUCUAAGCUUGCUCCCACAAUCAAAGGUUCACAAUCGAAGAGAAGGAACUCAAAAUCAAAAUUGAAGUUCAUGCAAUGUUGGUUUCUCUCAAAUGGCCACGAUUGUUGUUACUCCAACAAUUAUUCUUGCAGAGUUCAUACAUUUUAAGAAACCAUUUAUUCAAAAAAAGGUUUUGGCUUUAGCUGCUGUAUUAACUAAUAUUAAUAGAAAACAGUUAGCAUGAUAGGUGUCAAGUCAAAGAUUCCUUUACCUUAGAGGGCUUAAUUAACUCUUUGAUGAACAUGAGCAAUUAGUCUGAUAUUUCAAUAAUGUGUAUUUCAUGAUUUCAAAUUGCAGUAUGUAUAUUUCCAAUUAUUUUUGCAAUGUUGGUUAUUUGGAACAAUUUAGAAGACAAAGCAGUAGAAACAGCAAAUUGACAGGUAAAACAUUUGAAAGUUUAGCAAAUGAAUUCUGGCAUGUGCAAAAGAGACAAAAGAAGACUGACAUCAUUUUUAAUCCUUGCCGCAAGUCUCGUACAAGAGGCAAAACAAGACCGCGUUGACAUUUAUUUAAAAAAAAUUCAAAACUAAGUAUAACAGUUCGGUUCUUUAAUAAAUAGUUCGGUUUGGAAAAAUUGUCAUCUAAUAAUUUGGUACGGUUUGGAAUUCCGAACCGUUAAGCCAAACCAAAACUUUUAGUUCAAUUCGGUUUUUUUUGGAAAUUUAAAAAAUUGAGUUUUUCAUAAAUACAAAAGAUCGAGUUUAUUGGAAAAUAAAAAAAGUCGAGUUUCUCGGAAAUAUAAAAAAUUGACUUUAAUCGAAUUUUUUUGGAAAUUCAAAAAAUCAAGUUUUUAGAAAAUACAAAAAAUGAGUUUUUUUCGAAACACGAAAAAAAAGUUGAAAAUUUACGGAAACAAGAAAAAAUUCGAGUUUUUUC